GCACAAGUAGCUUAAUUGGUAGAGCAAAACACUGAAAAUGUUAAGGUUACUAGUUCAAUUCUGGUCUUGGGCA
Molecule: transfer RNA, 73 nt
Filed under: Geodia neptuni
Lineage: Eukaryota; Metazoa; Porifera; Demospongiae; Tetractinellida; Geodiidae
Description: tRNA-Phe
Rfam family: tRNA
About the family: Transfer RNA (tRNA) molecules are approximately 80 nucleotides in length. Their secondary structure includes four short double-helical elements and three loops (D, anti-codon, and T loops).
Source: RNAcentral